Molecule: small nucleolar RNA, 107 nt
Organism: Hevea brasiliensis (rubber tree)
Lineage: Eukaryota; Viridiplantae; Streptophyta; Magnoliopsida; Malpighiales; Euphorbiaceae
Source: RefSeq, a predicted model, not a curated record
AUGCCAUGGUGUAGGCACUCCUUUUGAAGAUCUUUAUACCUUUCCCAUGCAUCAUAGAGAGAUUUAUUGUCUUUCUGUCUGAAGGUAUUGAGUUCAGCACUAAGUUU